UGCCAGCAGCCGCGGUAAUACGGAGGGUGCGAGCGUUAAUCGGAAUUACUGGGCGUAAAGCGCAUGCAGGCGGUUUGUUAAGCAAGAUGUGAAAGCCCCGGGCUCAACCUGGGAACCGCAUUUUGAACUGGCAGGCUAGAGUCUUGUAGAGGGGGGUAGAAUUUCAGGUGUAGCGGUGAAAUGCGUAGAGAUCUGAAGGAAUACCGGUGGCGAAGGCGGCCCCCUGGACAAAGACUGACGCUCAGAUGCGAAAGCGUGGGGAGCAAACAAGAUUAGAUA
RNAcentral lists this ribosomal RNA (279 nucleotides) under uncultured bacterium. RNAcentral's name for it is "partial 16S ribosomal RNA". It matches the Rfam family "Bacterial small subunit ribosomal RNA", at positions 506 to 784 of the family's 1533-position model. The record is from RNAcentral.